This is a non-coding RNA of Pimephales promelas (fathead minnow), 566 nucleotides long. The record is from the annotation of a RefSeq genome assembly. NCBI's taxonomy places the organism in Eukaryota, Metazoa, Chordata, Actinopteri, Cypriniformes, Leuciscidae.
UACAGUACUUUUAUGAUAUUAGCACGCCACCUGCUGGAAAUCAUAGGAACAUCAUAGAAUAGAGGAAUGCAGAUGAAUCUUGUGACAAACAGCUGACAUCAUUUUUGUACUUCCUGCUUUUGCAUCCACCCCAAGACAUUUAAAGUUCAACCUCUCAAGAAACAUAAGACUUAACUGAUGUGAUCAUGGAAAGAGUCCAAAUGGCUCAACAAAUAGAAAAAUAUCUGGUGAUUCUCCUUACAGUAUCAGGUGUUAUCUGUCAGGAUCGGAUUGGACCCAGUGACCAGAGGACCAGCGUAAACAAUACAGAAGGAGAUUCAGUGACACUGAAGUGUACAUACCAUUCAAGCAGCAGCUAUGUUCUCCUUUAUUGGUACAGACAGUUUUCUAACACACAGCCACAAUUUGUACUGGUGAAAGGCGGAAAAUCAGAGACAUAUGAGAAUAUACCAGACCGUCGAUUUGGAUCAACUACAUCCCAGACAUCCACCUCACUGACCAUUACAACUGUAACUUUGUCAGAUGCAGCUCUGUAUUACUGUGCUCUAAGAGUAACAGCCCAAUGA